This 646-nucleotide ribosomal RNA is filed under the name Pectobacterium carotovorum subsp. carotovorum. Its description in RNAcentral is "bacterial SSU rRNA". It matches the Rfam family "Bacterial small subunit ribosomal RNA", at positions 57 to 693 of the family's 1533-position model. Lineage: Bacteria; Pseudomonadati; Pseudomonadota; Gammaproteobacteria; Enterobacterales; Pectobacteriaceae. The record is from RNAcentral.
GCAGUCGAGCGGUAGCACAGAGGAGCUUGCUCCUUGGGUGACGAGCGGCGGACGGGUGAGUAAUGUCUGGGAAACUGCCUGAUGGAGGGGGAUAACUACUGGAAACGGUAGCUAAUACCGCAUAACCUCGCAAGAGCAAAGAGGGGGACCUUAGGGCCUCUCGCCAUCAGAUGUGCCCAGAUGGGAUUAGCUAGUAGGUGAGGUAAUGGCUCACCUAGGCGACGAUCCCUAGCUGGUCUGAGAGGAUGACCAGCCACACUGGAACUGAGACACGGUCCAGACUCCUACGGGAGGCAGCAGUGGGGAAUAUUGCACAAUGGGCGCAAGCCUGAUGCAGCCAUGCCGCGUGUGUGAAGAAGGCCUUCGGGUUGUAAAGCACUUUCAGCGAGGAGGAAGGCGGUAAGGUUAAUAACCUUAUCGAUUGACGUUACUCGCAGAAGAAGCACCGGCUAACUCCGUGCCAGCAGCCGCGGUAAUACGGAGGGUGCAAGCGUUAAUCGGAAUGACUGGGCGUAAAGCGCACGCAGGCGGUCUGUUAAGUUGGAUGUGAAAUCCCCGGGCUUAACCUGGGAACUGCAUUCAAAACUGACAGGCUAGAGUCUUGUAGAGGGGGGUAGAAUUCCAGGUGUAGCGGUGAAAUGCGUAG